GUAUUGUAUGAGAGGAAAGAAGGUUAGCAUUUCCCUUGAUAACAGUGGAAGAGGUCUUAAGUGGCCUUUACAACACAUAUACAGUUAAGGUAUUGCCACCUACUCUGUGAUAUCUAACCAAGCUCCGCU
Molecule: small nuclear RNA, 129 nt
Organism: Trichosurus vulpecula (common brushtail)
Lineage: Eukaryota; Metazoa; Chordata; Mammalia; Diprotodontia; Phalangeridae
Source: RefSeq, a predicted model, not a curated record